Molecule: unclassified non-coding RNA, 304 nt
Filed under: Mycobacterium tuberculosis
Lineage: Bacteria; Bacillati; Actinomycetota; Actinomycetes; Mycobacteriales; Mycobacteriaceae
Description: partial tmRNA
Source: RNAcentral
CGAAUCAAGGGAAGCGUGCCGGUGCAGGCAAGAGACCACCGUAAGCGUCGUUGCGACCAAAUAAGCGCCGAUUCACAUCAGCGCGACUACGCUCUCGCUGCCUAAGCGACGGCUAGUCUGUCAGACCGGGAACGCCCUCGGCCCGGACCCUGGCAUCAGCUAGAGGGAUCCACCGAUGAGUCCGGUCGCGGACUCCUCGGGACAACCACAGCGACUGGGAUCGUCAUCUCGGCUAGUUCGCGUGACCGGGAGAUCCGAGCAGAGGCAUAGCGAACUGCGCACGGAGAAGCCUUGAGGGAAUGCC